AUGAGGAGGCCGAAGAGAGAACCCCUUAUUUUUUCCAAUUCCCACGUACAACUCCACACAGUCUGUACAUAUUUUCCUUUACCAUUUUUUACUACUAGUUUACAUAAAACUUGUUACCAUCGCAAUAGUCAAACAUUUACACAAAUAUUAUAUACUUUUCAUAUAAAAAAACCCCUUUCUGGCUAUCCUUCUCUCAUGUGUGUACGCUUUCAUGUUCAUAUCAUCACCUAAUAUAUGAAAAAUUGCAAUAUCAUCACAAUCAGAUCCAACACAAAACGUACGCGUCAAUGCGUUUCAAUUUCCGGAAAACAAAAUCAACAGCACAACAACUAACAUAACCAAACAAAUAAUGGAGCAACCAAAUAAGAAGAAGGAGAAGAAAUUGAAAUAAAUCUGUUCACGGUCCUGUUCGCGACGGGGACGAACCUCUGCGCUAGCCUACAACCUCACUACCGCGACACACCUCCGCCGGACAUCCCGAUCGGACCAUCACGCGCCGGCAGGGCCAUCUGAAUUCGGCCACCACCCCAACACCACGCCGACGAACCCAAAUCGCCGUCCUUCACCGUACAAGGGCCCUUUCCGAAUCGAGAUCAUUGUUGUCGGUAAUAUGUUUCUUUUCUUACUUUGCUUGCCUCACGUUUCAAUAUGGGUUCUUGGAAUUUUGUAUUUGCUUUUUUAGAAAUAUGGGUGAGAUCUUUUUUAGAAGAAACAAAGAGGUGCAAGUGGUUGUUCCAUUCUUCACUCGUAUGAAUAGUUAUAGCUAACGUCAUCUACGGUUGUUAAAAAGCAAUAUAUAUUUAACUAGUAGAAGACCCGUGCUUCCGCACGGGUAACUCAAAUCUUAAGAUGAAUAAUAUAUUACAAACGCAUAAAAAGAAGUUUAAAACUUAAAUGAGGAAUGUUAAAUUAAGAUUCAUAAAACAUAAUAUAGAUGUAAUGAAACUAUAUAUAGUAGCUAUUUAAAAAAAAUUGGAAAUGCAAUAGAAAAAAAAGGUAUUAUGGUGAUAGUGAAUCGUGAAAGAGUGAGUUUCAGUGAUAAAAUUCACAUAAGAAAGGUAUCAUAGUGAUAGUGACACGUAAAAAUAGUGAGUUUCAAUGAUAAAAUUUACAUAAAAAGUAUUAUGGCAAUAGUGACCCAUAAAAAUAGUGAGUUUCACCAAUAAAAUCAAGUAUUUUAGAUCAGUUUGGUUGUUACUGAUAUAUAAUUGUUAUUAUAAAAUCACUAAUCACUGUAAAUCUUAAGAUGAAUAAUGUAUUACAAAUGCAAAAAAAGAAGUUUAAAAACUUGAAUGAAGAAUGUUGAAUUAAGAUUCAUAAAACAUGAUAUAAAAUUAUAAAUGUAAUGAAACUAUAUAUAGUAGCUAUUUUAAAAGGGUCUUAUGGUGAUAGCGACCCGUGAAAGUAGUGAGUUUCAGUGAUAAAAAUCACAUAAGAAAAGUAGUAUGGUGAUAGUGACCUGUAAAAAUAGUGAGUUUCAGUAAUAAAAUUCAGUAUCUUAGAUUGGUUUGGUUGUUACUGAUAUAUAAUUGUUAUUAUAAAAUCACUAAUUAAUGCAAAUCUUAAGAUGAAUGAUGUAUUACAAACGCAAAAAAGAAGUUUAAAAAUUUGAAUGAGGAAUGUUAAUUUAAGAUUUACAAAACAUAAUAUAGAUGGAAUGAAUCUAUAUAUAGUAACUAUGUAAAAAAAAACACAUAAAUUCAAUAGUCAUUCAUAUCUUAGGUCAUUCGAUAAGACAUGAUUGUGUGUGAGAUACAAUUGUUAUUAUAGAAUCAAUAAUAGCUUGAAAUAUUUAAAAAGAAAUAUUUAUCAAAUCACCAACAUGAUAGUGUCCCGUGAAAAUAGUGAAUUUAUGCUAAUUAUAAAUAUUUAUAAUAUUUUGUUGAUUAAAUUAAAAAAUGUAUUGUGGUGACAGUGUCCCGUGAAAACUUUUUAGAUGAAUAAUUUUCAAUUUUAAUUGAUAUAGAAUUUAUUUAAAUUCAACUAUAAAAUAUACAAUAUAUAAUUUAAUAACAAAUAUUACUAAUAAAUAUAAAUAUUUACAAAUAUUUGGUUGGUUAAAAUAAAUAAAAAAAUAUAUUGUGGUGAUAGUGACACUGACACGUGCAUUCAUGCAUUUACAAAUAUUUUGUUAUACAAUUCUUAUUAUAAAAUCAGUAAUAACUGUCAAUAUUUAAAAAUAAAAAUGUAGUAAAUCACUCACAUGAUAACCCAAUAUAAAUAUUUAUAAAUAUUUUGUUUACUAAAAUAAAAAAUAUAUUUUGGUGACAGUGACCUGUGAAAAUAUUGAGUUUCGGUGAUAAAAUAGAUUACGCUCGUAGUGACCCAUAAGAUAAAAAGUUAGUUGUAUACACGAUUAUUGAUAUUCAAUUAAAUAAAAUAAAUUAUUAAUUUUAUUCAAAAUUAAAAUAUUAAUUCAUUAACAUUUUUAGUAAUAAUAAAUAAAUAAAAUUGAUUAAAAAUGUGACAAAAAUCAAACUUUUCAAACUUAAACUCAUAUUUAUAUAAUGUUUACAUAAUAUAAUGUUCACUUGAGAAAAAAAGAGAAUAAUUCAUAAUACCAAAAAAACGAUAUAUAAAAUAUAUCUAAAAUACCUAUUAUAAUCAACAUGCGUAAUUGUAUAGAUAAUAAUGGUUAAGUCAAAAUAAUUGUAUUAAAAAAUUAAAGAAAUUACAUAGACAACUUAAUACCAGUUCAAGAGAGCCCCAAUUGAUUUGUAGUUUUUUAAUUGAGUGGUUGGUUCAUUCAAUUGGUGUAGUUUGAUGAAAAGGUUUUAGAAGUUAUUUCAAGAGGUGGUGUGAUUGGUGGAAAAAACAUCGGUAUUCCAACAACAUAGAGACUGCAAAGUUGAGCUAGUAUAUAGGACAGUGGUGAUGGUGCAGGUUAAUGACAUACAUUAAAUAAUGAGACUUUAAAUAACUGUACUUUAUGGAAGAAAACACAUAUAACACUUUGUAGUUGCUUUGAAAUAGGUGAUUGUAAGCAUGAGAAAGGGGAAAAAGUGGAAAGGUGGGAUAUGCUGCAUGAAAUGAAAAAGCUGGAAGUUCCAAAAUGGAAAUUGAAACAGUCUCAAGUUUUAAAAAAGCUAGAUACAAACGUGAUAGUGAGAGAUUUUAAAUAGACAUCUCAAGUUUUAAAAAAAACAUAAAUUUUAAAAUCAUUGCCAUGCAUUUUAAAAAUUAAUUAUAACUCAAUAGUACUCUACUUUAAAACUAAUGUGUAGUGGCUAGGGGUGGACAAACGGUAAUCACCCGACGGGAACCGACCGUUCCGAUCCAAAAUUUGACACACGGUUCGGGUUCAGUCGGUUGGCGGAUUAUGUCGGAAACUAGCAAAGGGUUGUUGCGGGCUUCUACGGUCGGAUUCGGAGGUUGGUUUUGGGCCCGUCAGAAACCGAAUCCGACCGAAUCUAAGUAUCUUUAUAUGCUAGGCCCAAUCUAAUCUUAACCCAGUCCAUUUCUUCCCUUCCUAUGACUAUAACCCAGCCCAAUUUAGAUUGAGACUUGUAUAUAGUUUAUUGUCUCAGAUGUUUUAACCCUAAUUUGUAUCAAACCUAGUUGUGCCUCCAUCUCAAUAUCUCUGCGCCGUUUCCUUCUCAGAACAUUGGAAUCUCUCCCUCCUCAAGUAUGUGCUUCCAUUCACAAACAAGAUUUCUAUGCCUUAUCUCAGUAAUAAAAAAGGAUUGUCUUUUUUACUAAUUUUUCCAAUUGAUGGAUCUGAAGGUAUUAGGCAAGAAAUGCAAACUGGAUGCAUCAAGAAGGACACUUCAACCAAGUGUUGGUGACAAGUUCUUGAUAUGAGAACUAUCUAGUUUGAACCUUAUUUGCAGAAUGCCUGCAAGAGGUUUAUAACCCUAACAAGGACAAGGACAUCAAUGUAGUCUUCUAUAACAUUUCAGGUUAAGAGAGUAGGUUUGAUUCCUCUCGUUAGAAUCUUUGAUUCUUUUACAGGUUGAGCAAGAAAUGCAAGUUGCGCAGGGCCUUAAUAUUUCUGAUUCCUUCUGUAGUAUUUUCCAUACAUGUUCUGGAUUUGAAAUGAUUGAAAUACUGAAGAAAUUGUUGGAUUUUAACAUUCCAUAAAUUUUUUCUUUGUAUUUGCUGUGGUAUUGAAUGUUGUAUUAUAUUUUAUUAAAUUUAUGAUUUAUGUUAUUUGGAUAUUAAGGUUUUAUGUUAUUUGGAUAUUAUUUCAUCUUAAA
This is a long non-coding RNA of Vicia villosa (hairy vetch), 4196 nucleotides long. RefSeq lists it as uncharacterized. The record is from RefSeq and is a predicted model, not a curated record. NCBI's taxonomy places the organism in Eukaryota, Viridiplantae, Streptophyta, Magnoliopsida, Fabales, Fabaceae. The transcript is spliced from 7 exons.